UUAGGUUAAGAUGCUCCAAUUUUUGACAACGAACAGGAGGAGACGGGCACCUCAGAGCGGAACACUCAGACAUCCAGCCAGUCUCCAGGGUGCAUGACAAGCCUCAACUACCGCACUGCCUCCCCUGUCUCUGGGGUGCUUUGUGUCCUGUGACCCAGCAGAGCGCAUCUCCAGUCCAUGCCUGAGCUGUGGUCACCAAAUACCCAUUUCCUGGCUUGUGACUUACCCUUACGCAACCUGGUGGGCACCC
RNAcentral lists this long non-coding RNA (250 nucleotides) under Homo sapiens (human). RNAcentral's name for it is "HSALNT0049106". The record is from RNAcentral. Lineage: Eukaryota; Metazoa; Chordata; Mammalia; Primates; Hominidae.